UCCUGUGUGGUGCAAAAGGUUAACACACUCAGCUGCUAACUGAAAGGUUGGCAGUUUGAGUCCACCCAAAGGGA
This 74-nucleotide transfer RNA is filed under the name Loxodonta africana (African savanna elephant). It matches the Rfam family "tRNA". Rfam says of the family: Transfer RNA (tRNA) molecules are approximately 80 nucleotides in length. Lineage: Eukaryota; Metazoa; Chordata; Mammalia; Proboscidea; Elephantidae. The record is from Rfam by way of RNAcentral.